UCCUACGGGAGGCAGCAGGGGGGAAUAUUGGGCAAUGGGGGAAACCCUGACCCAGCGACGCCGCGUGAGGGAAGACGGCCUUCGGGUUGUAAACCUCUUUUGUACGGGAAGAAGGAAGUGACGGUACUGUACGAAUAAGUCCCGGCUAACUACGUGCCAGCAGCCGCGGUAAUACGUAGGGGACGAGCGUUGUCCGGAAUUACUGGGCGUAAAGGGCGCGCAGGCUGUGCUGCAAGUCAGCUGUGAAAUGUCUGGGCUUAACCCGGGCAUGCGGUUGAGACUGCUGUGCUGGAGUGCUGUGGAGGCAAGUGGAAUUCCCAGUGUAGCGGUGAAAUGCGUAGAUAUUGGGAAGAACACCGGUGGCGAAGGCGACUUGCUGGGCAGCAACUGACGCUGAGGCGCGAAAGCCAGGGGAGCAAACGGGAUUAGAUACCCCGGUAGUCCUGGCCGUAAACGAUGAAUGCUAGGUGUGGGUGUAGAGAUACAUUCGUGCCGGAGUUAACGCGAUAAGCAUUCCGCCUGGGGAGUACGGUCGCAAGAUUGAAACUCAAAGGAAUUGACGG
Molecule: ribosomal RNA, 563 nt
Filed under: uncultured Clostridium sp.
Lineage: Bacteria; Bacillati; Bacillota; Clostridia; Eubacteriales; Clostridiaceae
Description: bacterial SSU rRNA
Rfam family: Bacterial small subunit ribosomal RNA
Source: RNAcentral